CGAAGCCUGACGGAGCAAUACCGCGUGAGGGAAGAAGGCUUUUGGGUUGUAAACCUCUUUUGUCAGGGAAGAAGAAUUGACGGUACCUGAAGAAAAUGCAUCGGCUAACUCCGUGCCAGCAGCCGCGGUAAUACGGAGGACGCAAGCGUUAUCCGGAAUCAUUGGGCGUAAAGGGUCCGCAGGUGGCGAAUAAAGUCUGCUGUUAAAGACCGGGGCUAAACUCCGGAAAGGCAGUGGAGACUGAUUAGCUAGAGUACGGUAGGGGUAGAAGGAAUUCCCAGUGUAGCGGUGAAAUGCGUAGAUAUUGGGAAGAACACCGGUGGCGAAAGCGCUCUACUAGGCCGAAACUGACACUGAGGGACGAAAGCUAGGGUAGCGAAAGGGAUUAGAUACCCCUGUAGUCUUAGCGGUAAACGAUGGAUACUAGGUGUAGCUUGUAUCGACCCGAGCUGUGCCGAAGCUAACGCGAUAAGUAUCCCGCCUGGGGAGUACGCACGCAAGUGUGAAACUCAAAGGAAUUGACGGGGGCCCGCACAAGCGGUGGAGUAUGUGGUUUAAUUCGAUGCAACGCGAAGAACCUUACCAGGGCUUGACAUGUCGCGAAUCUAGCGGAAACGUUAGAGUGCCUUAGGGAAUGCGAACACAGGUGGUGCAUGGCUGUCGUCAGCUCGUGUCGUGAGAUGUUGGGUUAAGUCCCGCAACGAGCGCAACCCUCGUCCUUAGUUGCCAAUAUUAAGUUAGGCACUCUAGGGAGACUGCCGGGGACAACUCGGAGGAAGGUGGGGAUGACGUCAAGUCAGCAUGCCCCUUACGUCCUGGGCGACACACGUACUACAAUGGUUGGGACAAAGGGCAGCAAGCUCGCGAGAGUAAGCGAAUCUCAUCAAACCCAGCCACAGUUCAGAUUGCAGGCUGCAACUCGCCUGCAUGAAGUAGGAAUCGCUAGUAAUCGCAGGUCAGCAUACUGCGGUGAAUUCGUUCCCGGGCCUUGUACACACCGCCCGUCACACCAUGGAAGCUGGCUACGCCCGAAGUCGUUACCCUAACCCGGUUUUGGGAGGGGGAUGCCGAAGGUAGAGCUAGUGACUGGGGUGAAGUCGUAACAAGGUAGCCGUACCGGAAGGUGUGGCUGGAUCACCUCCUUU
This 1145-nucleotide ribosomal RNA is filed under the name uncultured cyanobacterium. RNAcentral describes it as "bacterial SSU rRNA". It matches the Rfam family "Bacterial small subunit ribosomal RNA", at positions 377 to 1533 of the family's 1533-position model. The record is from RNAcentral. Lineage: Bacteria; Bacillati; Cyanobacteriota.